RNAcentral lists this long non-coding RNA (440 nucleotides) under Strigops habroptila (Kakapo). RNAcentral describes it as "lncRNA (ENSSHBG00005004429.1)". Lineage: Eukaryota; Metazoa; Chordata; Aves; Psittaciformes; Psittacidae. The record is from RNAcentral.
GGGGCGGGGUCCCGGCCGUCCUACCGCCCCAUGGUGGCGAGUGUCGAGCGUGGAGGAUUUAGGCGGAGGGCGCAGGGAAGGAGGAAGGAAGAGAGGGGCUCCGCGGCAGCCCGGCCUGCGCUGCCAGGAGAGAGUAACGGGAGCGGGCCUAUGUUGCAGUCCUAAAAACACUGGAAGACUGAUUGACAGGAAGGUGCUAAGGAAAUACUACAUGACAAGAUGGACUGCAGAUCUCCUAGCUGGGCCUUAAAGUAGAAGAUUAUAUUUAGUCUUCUGCUAAGAAGUACGAUGCAUUUAGAAGACUAUGACCAUAAACAGCAAAGGAUAUAAAUUCUCUUAUUCCUCUCUUGGAAGAACUCCAAACUGCCUCCCUCUGCUAUUACUCUCUAUUUCCUAAGGCAGAUUUUUGAAAAGACAAUAAAGUAGUAUGUGGUAUUACA